AACGAACGCUGGCGGCGUGGUUAAGGCAUGCAAGUCGAACGGACUUAUCCAAGGGGUAACUCGAGGGUAAGUUAGUGGCGAACGGGUGAGGAAUACAUGGGUAACGUGCCCCGGACUCAGGGAUAGCGGCGGGAGCUUCGGCUCCCUUUGCGAAAGUGCCGGUAAUACCUGAUGAACCAGUAGCAUCGCAUGGUGCAUCUGGCAAGGGUCCGCCGGUCUGGGAGCGGCCCAUGUCCUAUCAGCUAGUUGGUGAGGUGAUGGCUCACCAAGGCAACGACGGGUAGCGGGCGUGAGAGCGUGGCCCGCCACAUCGGGACUGAGACACUGCCCGGACACCUACGGGUGGCUGCAGCAACGAAUAUUCCGCAAUGGGCGAAAGCCUGACGGAGCGACGCCGCGUGAAGGAUGAAGUCUUUCGGGAUGUAAACUUCUGUCAAGGAUUAGGAACACAAUGACCAGUCCUAAAGGAAGCACCGGCUAAUUCCGUGCCAGCAGCCGAC
Molecule: ribosomal RNA, 500 nt
Filed under: uncultured bacterium
Lineage: Bacteria
Description: bacterial SSU rRNA
Rfam family: Bacterial small subunit ribosomal RNA
Source: RNAcentral